CGAACGCUGAAGCUUGGUGCUUGCACUGGGUGGAUGAGUUGGCGAACGGGUGAGUAAUACGUGAGUAACCUGCCCUUCGACUCUGGGAUAAGCCUGGGAAACUGGGUCUAAUACUGGAUACGACAUGUCACCGCAUGGUGGUGUGUGGAAAGGGUUUUACUGGUUUUGGAUGGGCUCACGGCCUAUCAGCUUGUUGGUGGGGUAAUGGCUCACCAAGGCGACGACGGGUAGCCGGCCUGAGAGGGUGACCGGCCACACUGGGACUGAGACACGGCCCAGACUCCUACGGGAGGCAGCAGUGGGGAAUAUUGCACAAUGGGCGGAAGCCUGAUGCAGCGACGCCGCGUGAGGGAUGACGGCCUUCGGGUUGUAAACCUCUUUCAGCACGGAAGAAGCGAAAGUGACGGUACGUGCAGAAGAAGCGCCGGCUAACUACGUGCCAGCAGCCGCGGUAAUACGUAGGGCGCAAGCGUUGUCCGGAAUUAUUGGGCGUAAAGAGCUCGUAGGCGGUUUGUCGCGUCUGCUGUGAAAGCCCGGGGCUUAACCCCGGGUGUGCAGUGGGUACGGGCAGACUUGAGUGCAGUAGGGGAGACUGGAAUUCCUGGUGUAGCGGUGAAAUGCGCAGAUAUCAGGAGGAACACCGAUGGCGAAGGCAGGUCUCUGGGCUGUUACUGACGCUGAGGAGCGAAAGCAUGGGGAGCGAACAGGAUUAGAUACCCUGGUAGUCCAUGCCGUAAACGUUGGGCACUAGGUGUGGGGAACAUUCCACGUUUUCCGCGCCGUAGCUAACGCAUUAAGUGCCCCGCCUGGGGAGUAC
Molecule: ribosomal RNA, 817 nt
Filed under: Kocuria sp.
Lineage: Bacteria; Bacillati; Actinomycetota; Actinomycetes; Micrococcales; Micrococcaceae
Description: bacterial SSU rRNA
Rfam family: Bacterial small subunit ribosomal RNA
Source: RNAcentral